RNAcentral lists this long non-coding RNA (1347 nucleotides) under Ananas comosus (pineapple). RNAcentral describes it as "long non-coding RNA (ACOM_LNC036215)". Lineage: Eukaryota; Viridiplantae; Streptophyta; Magnoliopsida; Poales; Bromeliaceae. The record is from RNAcentral.
GGCUUGAGGUCUUCGGACCAAUAGGGCAGCGAGAUUGGGUACUUUUGAGGUUAUCGUCAGUUGACGCAUGCAUACAGUAGCUGUAGUGUUUAUUUCCAGUACAUCUUUAUCUGUUUAUUGUAGCUACUGUUUUAUUUACCUGCAUCUAUACUUGUCAGCUCCUUACAUAUCUCUUUCGUUUAUUAUUGUUGCUACUAUAUUUCCACUGACCCGUGUUGUUGUAUAACUCUUCCUGAUCCGGUGAGUACUCCUCGCCUUCUUCGGCUUGCGGUACCCACUGGGAGGGGAGACAUGUUUACAUGUUCUCACCUCCCCCACUAUUUUUUCAGAUAUUGCGGGCGAUGAGUAGUGGGACGAGACGUGAGGCACGCGUGUAGCGGUCGAUAGAGCUGCCGACCCAGGUUAUUUCGGUAUAGUUAUUACCCCUAUUAUUUCUGUUGUUGCAUAGUUUAGUUGGUUUAUGUGGUUCAGUAUUUCAUUACAUUAAAAUAAAAGGAUUUCUGGAUGUUGUAAAAUAAAAGGUUUUCUACCCCUCGUGGUAGCGUUUUUAAAAGAUAAAAGUUUCCGUGUAGGGAACAGUUUUUAAAAUAUUUUCUGUGAUUUUUGUAUCUUAGUAUUUCAAAACCUGUUUCUGUGGUUGGAAACAUUUUAACUAAUAGAUGUGAAUCUGUGGUGAAUGGUGUGUGAAUAUAUAUAACGGUUGGUUAUUUGUAUGUUCAUUUGUUGUGGUUGUGCCUGGGUGACUUCUUGUACUUGUACGACGCCGUGCAAAUACAGGGGAGACUCUGUCCGUGUGAACAGUGGAUUCCCUGUAUUUGUGGCGGAUCUGGCAUACUCUGGGGUCAGGUUUUCAAAAAAAAAAAAAUUCAGACGCUUUUCCGCUUUGUUUUAAACUGAAAAGGGACCCCGGGGCGUGACAUUGAUACAACCGUAGAUAAAUCUAAUAUUAGAAAUUAAUCAUCCUAAAAUGAGGGGGAACACAGUAGGUAAAAAAUUAAGAAAAAGGAGUAUAGCACAUAAUCAUAAAGCUCUUGCAAAAUGCAAUAAAAAAUCAUGUAAGGCAUAAGCUGGAGCCUAAAAUUUAAGAUAUUCUAUGCAUAUGUCAAUAAUGAACCAAAUUCUAUACUAAACAUAAUUAAGAAUGUUGGCAUUCGGUUAAAUCGAAUCGGGUACGCCCAUAAGCGGGUUCGAUCCGAUGGAUAUUAUGUUAUCUAAUUGGAUUAGGAUUAAUCUCGCUUUCAAAUUGGAAAGCUAAUUAGAGAUAAAUCUAAUCAUAUUAGGAUAACAAUUAAUAACCGAUUUGGCUUUAUCUCCAACGCCAUUAGGAUUUUGGAAUUCUUUAUAAAU